RNAcentral lists this long non-coding RNA (505 nucleotides) under Brassica napus (rape). Its description in RNAcentral is "long non-coding RNA (BNAP_LNC021333)". The record is from RNAcentral. Lineage: Eukaryota; Viridiplantae; Streptophyta; Magnoliopsida; Brassicales; Brassicaceae.
ACAAACCGCUGUUUCGUAUCAUGUCAUUAAAGGGGAUAAACGAAUCCACACUUCUCAAAGCUCCUCCAUCUUUUUCAUGAUUUCCAGUAAUUUCAUUUAAAUCGCCAAUGAUGAACCAGAGUUCGGAUCUUGAAAGUCCAUACCUAGUUAAUCGUUCCUAAACUUGUUCCCUCAUUUUUUGGACCGGAUCUCCAUGCAUAAACAAAUGUUAGAAACACCCUUUUCCCAAUAGCCACCGCCUCCACAUCUAUCAUUGGAUUACUUGAGUAUAGAAUCUUAACCUGAUACUCAUUAUUAUAAAAAAACGCUAAUCCACCACUUCUCUUAUUUGGAUCCACUGUAACCAAAUUAUCGAAUCCAGAGUGGAGUUGAAAUCUCUGAACGAAGUCAAACUCCUGCUUUGUUUCUGAUAAAAAUAAAAAAUCUGGUUUAUGUUUGUGCUAUAUCUCUCUCAGAUAACUCAUAGUCCAUUUAUUUCUCAUUCCUCGACAAUUCCAACUUAAAG